Molecule: long non-coding RNA, 1023 nt
Organism: Lolium rigidum
Lineage: Eukaryota; Viridiplantae; Streptophyta; Magnoliopsida; Poales; Poaceae
Exons: 6
Source: RefSeq, a predicted model, not a curated record
UCUGUCCUUUCACUUGCACGCACUGAAGCAAACACUGAAGUAAAAAAAAAAUCAUACUGCUCCGCAUCUGUCCCAACUCCGGCGACCGGACAGCCGCUCCGUGACCGGAGACCAACCCUCGAGGUGGUACUUCUCCCCCACCCCGUCCCCCGUCCCCCGCCCCCCAUCCCUGCAACACCCUCAUCUCUCCUCCGGGCUCCAGCUCUCCCCCAUGUCGCAUCCCGUGUGACCGUCGCCUCCACAUCAACGACCACAUCCGGCCGGUGACCCGCGACUGGGAGGUGCUCGAGCUCUUCAUGCUCACGGGCGAUACAGCGCUAGGCGGAAGCGGAGGCGCAGGGGCUCGUCUCCACGCGAAUGGUGGCCGCGGACAUCGCGCAUCUGACGCGUACACAGCACCUGAGCUUGGAGCUCGGCUAGCCACAGGCGAGCUGUUGGCACUACCCUGUGGUGCGAAUCGAAGUAACUCAUGUUGUCUGUGAGAAGCGGGGGUAGAUUGAUGCAGUGUGAAGGAGCGUUUUUGUUGAUGACAACUUAACGGCCUAGCGAUUUGAAGCAUGGGCGAGCCUUAGUUAUUCAUGUCAAGUAUCUCAAAUAUUCCAUGUACUGCUGUUCAAUCUUGGUGGCCCAGAGACCCUCAAUGAUGUUUAGCCGUUUUUGUUCAAUCUCUUUGCUGAUUCAUUGAUUCAUUGUGGCUCGAUGGUCCAGGAUGAGAAGGUAGAGCUAAACAUCCAAUUCAUGUAAUAUUUGAGAAUUAUGGUCAUCAUCCGUUGUAUGCAUCAAUGCUUUCUUAGGGAUGGGUUUUUGUGCUUUCAUGAACAAGCUCAGAUACAUGGAGAGCUGAUUGAACUGCAAUGACCAUCUGAUCAUGUUGCGCAAGAUAGACCUAGAAACUUUCAAGGUCAUGAGUAGUAUGCUAUUGAUGAAGAUGAUUACCUAUGAUGUCAUCUACUCUCAUUUGGUUCAUUUCUGAUUUUGUCAAUCACGGACCAAUCAUCGCUGGUGCAAGCAUAAUCUGUGACA